GGUGAGAUGGCCGAGCGGUCUAAGGCGCAAGACUAAGGAUCUUGUCCGAAAGGGCGUGGGUUCGAAUCCCACUCUCAUCA
Molecule: transfer RNA, 80 nt
Organism: Calocera cornea HHB12733
Lineage: Eukaryota; Fungi; Basidiomycota; Dacrymycetes; Dacrymycetales; Dacrymycetaceae
Rfam family: tRNA
About the family: Transfer RNA (tRNA) molecules are approximately 80 nucleotides in length. Their secondary structure includes four short double-helical elements and three loops (D, anti-codon, and T loops). Further hydrogen bonds mediate the characteristic L-shaped molecular structure. tRNAs have two regions of fundamental functional importance: the anti-codon, which is responsible for specific mRNA codon recognition, and the 3' end, to which the tRNAs corresponding amino acid is attached (by aminoacyl-tRNA synthetases). tRNAs cope with the degeneracy of the genetic code in two manners: having more than one tRNA (with a specific anti-codon) for a particular amino acid; and 'wobble' base-pairing, i.e. permitting non-standard base-pairing at the 3rd anti-codon position.
Source: Rfam